RNAcentral lists this ribosomal RNA (1279 nucleotides) under Salmonella enterica subsp. enterica. RNAcentral describes it as "partial 23S ribosomal RNA". It matches the Rfam family "Bacterial large subunit ribosomal RNA", at positions 161 to 1482 of the family's 2925-position model. RNAcentral also lists the same sequence under 1 other name. The record is from RNAcentral. Lineage: Bacteria; Pseudomonadati; Pseudomonadota; Gammaproteobacteria; Enterobacterales; Enterobacteriaceae.
AAUCCAUAGGUUAAUGAGGCGAACCGGGGGAACUGAAACAUCUAAGUACCCCGAGGAAAAGAAAUCAACCGAGAUUCCCCCAGUAGCGGCGAGCGAACGGGGAGGAGCCCAGAGCCUGAAUCAGCAUGUGUGUUAGUGGAAGCGUCUGGAAAGGCGCGCGAUACAGGGUGACAGCCCCGUACACAAAAGCGCAUGUGCUGUGAGCUCGAUGAGUAGGGCGGGACACGUGGUAUCCUGUCUGAAUAUGGGGGGACCAUCCUCCAAGGCUAAAUACUCCUGACUGACCGAUAGUGAACCAGUACCGUGAGGGAAAGGCGAAAAGAACCCCGGCGAGGGGAGUGAAAAAGAACCUGAAACCGUGUACGUACAAGCAGUGGGAGCACAGGUUUACCUGUGUGACUGCGUACCUUUUGUAUAAUGGGUCAGCGACUUAUAUUCUGUAGCAAGGUUAACCGAAUAGGGGAGCCGGAGGGAAACCGAGUCUUAAUUGGGCGUUAAGUUGCAGGGUAUAGACCCGAAACCCGGUGAUCUAGCCAUGGGCAGGUUGAAGGUUGGGUAACACUAACUGGAGGACCGAACCGACUAAUGUUGAAAAAUUAGCGGAUGACCUGUGGCUGGGGGUGAAAGGCCAAUCAAACCGGGAGAUAGCUGGUUCUCCCCGAAAGCUAUUUAGGUAGCGCCUCGUGAAUUCAUCUCCGGGGGUAGAGCACUGUUUCGGCUAGGGGGCCAUCCCGGCUUACCAACCCGAUGCAAACUGCGAAUACCGGAGAAUGUUAUCACGGGAGACACACGGCGGGUGCUAACGUCCGUCGUGAAGAGGGAAACAACCCAGACCGCCAGCUAAGGUCCCAAAGUCAUGGUUAAGUGGGAAACGAUGUGGGAAGGCCCAGACAGCCAGGAUGUUGGCUUAGAAGCAGCCAUCAUUUAAAGAAAGCGUAAUAGCUCACUGGUCGAGUCGGCCUGCGCGGAAGAUGUAACGGGGCUAAACCAUGCACCGAAGCUGCGGCAGCGACACUGUGUGUUGUUGGGUAGGGGAGCGUUCUGUAAGCCUGUGAAGGUGGCCUGUGAGGGUUGCUGGAGGUAUCAGAAGUGCGAAUGCUGACAUAAGUAACGAUAAAGCGGGUGAAAAGCCCGCUCGCCGGAAGACCAAGGGUUCCUGUCCAACGUUAAUCGGGGCAGGGUGAGUCGACCCCUAAGGCGAGGCCGAAAGGCGUAGUCGAUGGGAAACGGGUUAAUAUUCCCGUACUUGGUGUUACUGCGAAGGGGGGACGGAGAAGGC